UUACGUCGGACUGACGGCGUUCCUAUUGAAGAAUGAGCCAACGAGUUUAUUUAUGCGGCAAGCCUAAGGUCGUUAAGACCGGAGGCGUAGUGAAAGCAAGGGUUAAUCGCCCGAUUUAGUCGUAUAAAUAAGACCCGAAGCCAGGUGACCUAGCCAUAGCCAGGGUGAACCCAGCGUAACAACUGGGGGAGGCCCGAACCCGUGAGCCGUGCAAAACUUUGGGAUGAGCUGUGGUUAGCGGAGAAAUUCCAAUCGAACUUGGCAAUAGCUGGUUCUCCUCGAAAUAGCUUUAGGGCUAGCCUUAUCGUUGCGCCCGGGGGUAGAGCACUGAAUGGGUGUGGAUGGAGCGAUCCUACCUCAUCCAACCAAACUCCGAAUACCGGGUUAGCUUUAAGCGAUAGGAGUCAGACUGUGGGGGCUAAGCUCCAUUAGUCAAAAGGGAUACAGCCCAGAUCGUCAUCUAAGGUCCCUAAAUCUAGAUUAAGUGUAAAAGGUGGUGACAUGACUUAUACAACCAGGAGGUUGGCUUAGAAGCAGCCAUCCUUUAAAGAAAGCGUAACAGCUCACUGGUCCAGUUGUCUUGCGCCGAAAAUUUAUCGGGGCUAAAAUCUAGUACCGAAGAUACGAACUUUGAUGGUUUUCCAUCGAAGUGGUAGAGGAGUAUUCUUUGUCCACUGAAGUCGGACCCGCGAGGGCCGGUGGAGGGCAAAGAAGUAAGAAUGUUGGCAUAAGUAGCACAAAGGCGGGUGAGAACCCCGCCCACCGUAAGCCUAAGGUUUCCUGGGCAACGCAAAUCGACCCAGGGUUAGUCGAUCCUAAGCUGAGGCCGAAAGGCGUAGGCGAUGGAAGAGCAGGUUAAUAUUCCAGCACUGCUUAUGGUUUUCGAUGGGGUGACGCAUUUAUAGAGGUAGAACGUUCUAUGGUAUGGACGUUGCUGGCUAAAAAGCGUGAUAGCAGGCAAAUCCGCUAUCAUCAGCGCUUAGGCCGGCAAAAGGUUGAAAGCU
RNAcentral lists this ribosomal RNA (1004 nucleotides) under Candidatus Woesebacteria bacterium. RNAcentral's name for it is "partial 23S ribosomal RNA". It matches the Rfam family "Bacterial large subunit ribosomal RNA", at positions 583 to 1585 of the family's 2925-position model. Lineage: Bacteria; Candidatus Woeseibacteriota. The record is from RNAcentral.